Molecule: small nuclear RNA, 328 nt
Filed under: Felis catus (domestic cat)
Lineage: Eukaryota; Metazoa; Chordata; Mammalia; Carnivora; Felidae
Description: 7SK RNA
Rfam family: 7SK RNA
About the family: 7SK was discovered as an abundant small nuclear RNA in the mid-70s but a possible function has only recently been suggested. Two independent studies have found that 7SK RNA binds the CDK9/cyclin T complex (known as elongation factor P-TEFb). P-TEFb activates transcription by phosphorylating the C-terminal domain of RNA polymerase II.
Source: Rfam by way of RNAcentral
GGAUGUGAGGGCUAUCUGGCUGCGACAUCUGUCACCCCAUUGAUCGCCAGGGUUGAUUCAGCUGAUCUGGCUGGCUAGGAGGGUGUCCCCUUCCUCCCUCUCUGCUCCAGGUGCAUCCCUCCGGAGCUGUGGUCUUGGUGGAAAAGGACAACCUUCCCACUACCUUCCCGGAUAGAGGAUCGGCCUUCCAUCAAGGGUAUAGGAGUAGCUGCGCUCCUCUCCAAACAAGCUCUGGAGGUCCAUUUGUAGGAGAAUGUAGGGUGGUCAAGCUUCCAAAACUCCAGAUACAUUCAAAUGAGGCACAGCACGUGGCAGUCUGUCUUUAUUA